RNAcentral lists this ribosomal RNA (439 nucleotides) under uncultured bacterium. Its description in RNAcentral is "partial 16S ribosomal RNA". It matches the Rfam family "Bacterial small subunit ribosomal RNA", at positions 339 to 795 of the family's 1533-position model. The record is from RNAcentral.
CUACGGGUGGCACCAGUGGGGAAUAUUGCACAAUGGAGGAAACUCUGAUGCAGCAACGCCGCGUGGAGGAUGACACUUUUCGGAGCGUAAACUCCUUUUAUAUAGGAAGAAGAUGACGGUACUAUAUGAAUAAGCGCCGGCUAACUCCGUGCCAGCAGCCGCGGUAAUACGGAGGGCGCAAGCGUUACUCGGAAUCACUGGGCGUAAAGAGCGUGUAGGCGGAUUAAAAAGUCAGAAGUGAAAUCCUAUAGCUUAACUAUAGAACUGCUUCUGAAACUCUUAAUCUAGAAUAUGGGAGAGGUAGAUGGAAUUUCUGGUGUAGGGGUAAAAUCCGUAGAGAUCAGAAGGAAUACCGAUUGCGAAGGCGAUCUCCUGGAACAUUACUGACGCUAAGGCGUGAAAGCGUGGGGAGCAAACAGGAUUAGAUACCCGGGUAGUC